This 485-nucleotide ribosomal RNA is filed under the name Cryptosporidium sp. B1-36. Its description in RNAcentral is "SSU rRNA". It matches the Rfam family "Eukaryotic small subunit ribosomal RNA", at positions 378 to 890 of the family's 1831-position model. Lineage: Eukaryota; Apicomplexa; Conoidasida; Eucoccidiorida; Cryptosporidiidae. The record is from RNAcentral.
CGAUUCCGGAGAGGGAGCCUGAGAAACGGCUACCACAUCUAAGGAAGGCAGCAGGCGCGCAAAUUACCCAAUCCUAAUACAGGGAGGUAGUGACAAGAAAUAACAAUACAGGACUUUUUGGUUUUGUAAUUGGAAUGAGUUAAGUAUAAACCCCUUUACAAGUAUCAAUUGGAGGGCAAGUCUGGUGCCAGCAGCCGCGGUAAUUCCAGCUCCAAUAGCGUAUAUUAAAGUUGUUGCAGUUAAAAAGCUCGUAGUUGGAUUUCUGUUAAUAAUUUAUAUAAUAUAUUUUGAUAGAUAUUUAUAUAAUAUUAACAUAAUUCAUAUUACUAUUUUUUUUUAGUAUAUGAAAUUUUACUUUGAGAAAAUUAGAGUGCUUAAAGCAGGCAUAUGCCUUGAAUACUCCAGCAUGGAAUAAUAUUAAAGAUUUUUAUCUUUCUUAUUGGUUCUAAGAUAAGAAUAAUGAUUAAUAGGGACAGUUGGGGGCA